ACGAACACUGGCGGCGUGCUUAACACCUGCCAGUCGCACGGAAAGGCCCUGCUUUUGUGGGGUGCUCGAGUGGCGAACGGGUGAGUAACACGUGAGUAACCUGCCCUUGACUUUGGGAUAACUUCAGGAAACUGGGGCUAAUACCGGAUAGGAGCUCCUGCUGCAUGGUGGGGGUUGGAAAGUUUCGGCGGUUGGGGAUGGACUCGCGGCUUAUCAGCUUGUUGGUGGGGUAGUGGCUUACCAAGGCUUUGACGGGUAGCCGGCCUGAGAGGGUGACCGGCCACAUUGGGACUGAGAUACGGCCCAGACUCCUACGGGAGGCAGCAGUGGGGAAUAUUGCACAAUGGGCGGAAGCCUGAUGCAGCAACGCCGCGUGCGGGAUGACGGCCUUCGGGUUGUAAACCGCUUUCGCCUGUGACGAAGCGUGAGUGACGGUAAUGGGUAAAGAAGCACCGGCUAACUACGUG
Molecule: ribosomal RNA, 467 nt
Filed under: uncultured bacterium
Lineage: Bacteria
Description: partial 16S ribosomal RNA
Rfam family: Bacterial small subunit ribosomal RNA
Source: RNAcentral